UUUAAUCUUGAAAAUACCCAAAAAUAAUUUUGUUUUAAUUGUCACUCUCAUUAGUAGUUAUUUUGCUUGCGUAUAAUUAACUAAAUAAGAUCGUGUUCUUAUCCUUGGUUCCGGACAAAGAAUAAUAUAUGGGUUCGAACGACCCAUUUUUAGUCCCAAAAUUUGGACCAAACCCAUAUCCAAACCCACACCUUACACAUAAAACAAAAUAAUGGGAAACAAAUUUUUCUCAAAUUAAGAAGGAAUACACGGAUGGACACCAAGUGAGCCCCCCUCAAUUUGACUCUUCAGAUUUUUGGAGACACAUAAUCAUGGACAGAUUUUACACU
RNAcentral lists this long non-coding RNA (329 nucleotides) under Nicotiana benthamiana. RNAcentral describes it as "long non-coding RNA (NBEN_LNC018016)". The record is from RNAcentral. Lineage: Eukaryota; Viridiplantae; Streptophyta; Magnoliopsida; Solanales; Solanaceae.